UGACCUUAUCACAAAGGCCAGGCAAAGUGUCCCGCUUUGCCUGGCUUCGUGGAAGAAAGAGAGGGGCAGUAGGGUGAAUCCGUCAUCCAGAGAAAUAGAAAAUGCAAUGUCUUGUCCAACAGUGGGCCCAUCUUCAAAAGGCUGGAAGCAUCCUAAAAUGCUUAAUUUGGUGAGUGUAGUGAAGUUGCAUGACAUAGCUGUGAUACCAUUGUCAUGUUCCCAUCACGCACCACUCUCCCCAUCUCCCCCAAGUAUUUUAUGGGGUAUCACAGCACAGGAAAAAGAGAGUCAAUUUUAUCAGUGAUCAUAGAACAGGUCAAUGGCAAUUUUGUCAGGUUUAAGUGGGCAGUUGAGCUAAGAGAGGAUGUUUAGUUAAGUACAUUUGCAGUUGCAUCUACAUUGUAGAAUUAAUGCUGUUUGACAUGACUGCCAUGGAUCAAUGCAAUGGAAUACUGAGUGUUGUAGCUUUACAAAGUCUUUAGUCAUUUCUCCCAAAAAGGGCUGGUGUGUUGCUAAACUACAAAUCCCAUGCUCUGUGACCUUUGAGCCAUGGUAGUUGAAGUGGUGUCAAUCUGCAUUAAUUCUGCAGUGUAAAUGCAGUAGGUGAUAUAAAAACUGAAUGAUAUAAAAAACAUUGUUGUUCAGUUCAGCUUUUUAGCUCAGAUGCUAAUUUUUCCAUAAACCAAUCUCUUUGGAAGCAAUUAUCUGGUUUUCUAUUUCUUUCUUCCCAGGGACAAACAAGUUUAUAGGUCAAAAACAAUCCAGGAAAAGAUAAAUUUUGGGACGAGUUGGUUUAUGUCUUUAUAUUUUGCUCUAUUUGUGUAUUUCAUUUUGCUCAGACAGUAUAGCUGGAAAAUAAUCAUGUAGGUCAUGCAAAGUUUACAGCUCUUUUAAAAUAUUUUCUUCUACAUCAUAUAUUUCCUCUGUUACAGCAGGAUGCUAAAGUAACUGGAAAGAAAUAAUCAACAUACUAAAUAACAGUGACAUUUUUAUAUAAGAUCAACCACACUGCAUUAUAUUUAAGAUGGUCAACCAAUUAAAGGGUUUUUUUAAAAAAAAAUAAAAAUAAAAUCAGAAUGUCAGGCUUUCUAAGUAGUUAAUUAGCCAAUUAGAUUACAGUGUAUAUGAAAAUGAAUUACAGAAUGCAUGAAGUGCAUAUUGUGAAAACCACAGUAAAAAUAAAAUACUAGGAAAUAUGUUAUUAGUCCCUAUCCAAUUGAAAUAAUGAUGUAAGAAUUGGCAUUCAAGCUGAGAUUUGAAGUCAUCAAUUAUCAUCCUGCUUUAAACUAAGCAGUAAUUUACUUUUUGGAUUACAAUUUCCAAAAUGCCCCAGAUAGAAUAGCCUUCAGAAAGCAUUUUCCUAGCUUUGCAUAUGAAUAGUAAAAAAAUUCAAUGGACAAACAGAUAAAUGUGUGUGUGUGUAUAUAAAAAGUAUUCAGUCCCGUGUGUUAGAGAAAAUAGUAGACAUAGGGUCCAUCUACACUGUAGAAUUAAUGCAGAAUAGUUUGACAGAACUUUAAUUGUCAUGGCUUAGUGAUACGAAAUCCUGGGAUUUCUAGUUUGGUGAGGUACUAGCAUUCUUUGGCAAAAAAAAAUUAAACCUUGUAAAACUACAAUUUCCAUGAUUCCA
Anolis carolinensis (green anole) is the source of this 1630-nucleotide long non-coding RNA. Lineage: Eukaryota; Metazoa; Chordata; Lepidosauria; Squamata; Anolidae. The record is from Ensembl.